AACGAACGCUGGCGGCAGGCCUAACACAUGCAAGUCGAACGCACCGCAAGGUGAGUGGCGCACGGGUGAGUAACACGUGGGAAUGUACCCUUUGGUUCGGAAUAACGUUUGGAAACGAACGCUAAUACCGGAUGAGCCCCGUGGGGGAAAGAUUUAUCGCCAAAGGAGCAGCCCGCGUCUGAUUAGCUAGUUGGUGGGGUAAAGGCCUACCAAGGCGACGAUCAGUAGCUGGUCUGAGAGGACGACCAGCCACACUGGGACUGAGACACGGCCCAGACUCCUACGGGAGGCAGCAGUGGGGAAUUUUGGACAAUGGGCGCAAGCCUGAUCCAGCAAUGGCCGCGUGCAGGAUGAA
Molecule: ribosomal RNA, 355 nt
Filed under: uncultured bacterium
Lineage: Bacteria
Description: bacterial SSU rRNA
Rfam family: Bacterial small subunit ribosomal RNA
Source: RNAcentral